UACGAAGGGGGCUAGCGUUGUUCGGAAUCACUGGGCGUAAAGCGCACGUAGGCGGACUUGUUAGUCAGGGGUGAAAUCCCAGGGCUCAACCCUGGAACUGCCUUUGAUACUGCAAGUCUCGAGUCCGGAAGAGGUGAGUGGAACUCCUAGUGUAGAGGUGAAAUUCGUAGAUAUUAGGAAGAACACCAGUGGCGAAGGCGGCUCACUGGUCCGGAUCUGACGAUGAGGUGCGAAAGCGUGGGAAGCAAACAGG
This 253-nucleotide ribosomal RNA is filed under the name uncultured bacterium. RNAcentral's name for it is "partial 16S ribosomal RNA". It matches the Rfam family "Bacterial small subunit ribosomal RNA", at positions 524 to 776 of the family's 1533-position model. The record is from RNAcentral.